Molecule: ribosomal RNA, 510 nt
Filed under: Nesophrosyne sp. 360 GMB-2012
Lineage: Eukaryota; Metazoa; Arthropoda; Insecta; Hemiptera; Cicadellidae
Description: partial 16S ribosomal RNA
Source: RNAcentral
UAAGAAUUUAAAAGUCGAACAGACUUAUUUAUAAGAAUACUGCUUCUUAUAAUAUUCUUAAUUCAACAUCGAGGUCGCAAAAUAUAAUAUAGAUAUGAACUCCCCAUUAAAAUUACGCUGUUAUCCCUAAGGUAACUUAAUCUUAUUUCCCACAUAUAUUUGAGGAUCUAUAAUUACAUUAACAAAUGAUAUAAAAAACUAAAGUUUAAAUUUAGACACCACCCCAGCAAAAAAUAAAUUUAUACAAUAAAAUAUAGGAACAAUUAAAUUAAAUAAUAUAAAUCUAUGUAAAGUUCUAUAGGGUCUUAUCGUCCCAAUAAACCAAUAAAGCAUUUUAACCUUAAAUUUAAAUUCUAAUACUCUAAGAAAUAAAAUAUAUUUCUCAUACAUCCAUUCAUACAAGCCCCCAAUUAAGAAACUAAUUACUAUGCUACCUUUGCACAGUCAAAAUACUGCAGCCAUUUAAUUAUAAAUAAAAUCAUAGGGCAGAAGAUACUUUUCAUAUAAUCA